Molecule: non-coding RNA, 2697 nt
Organism: Cajanus cajan (pigeon pea)
Lineage: Eukaryota; Viridiplantae; Streptophyta; Magnoliopsida; Fabales; Fabaceae
Source: RefSeq, a predicted model, not a curated record
AAUCCAAUCCCUAUUUUGAUUCCCUGGAAUCCAUAAGGAAAAGAGAAAAUGAAAGAAGGGAGGAAGCAACAGUGAACUGAAAAUGCGAUUGAGCAUCACAAGUGCCUUACAGUCAUCACUCCCACUCGCGUCACCCUCUUCUCUCAGAAUCCGCAUUCGCAUUCGCAUUCGCGCUCUCACCUCCUCUUCUCUCCCAACCACCCACGACCACCAAGACUUGUUCCACCCUCUCCCUCUUCCCACUCCCCGCCACGUCGACAGAGCCCCCAACGCCAUCGAGAAAAUCGCCCUCCGCUUGCGCAACUUAGGGUUAGCCUCCGCCGAUCACUCUGAUGCCAACGACGAUUUCCUGAACCGCGAAUGGCUUCGCCCCGACCACGCGCUUUUGCCCUGGGACAAGGAACAACAGGAGCAAGAGGAACGUCAGCCAAAGAAGAAGAAGAAGGUUAAUGCGGCCACAGUGGCGGAGGAGGAGGACCUGCGUCGGUUGCGAACGCUUGGAAUGCGCCUUAAGGAGAAGGUCAAUGUCCCCAAAGCUGGACUCACACCGUCCGUGCUCCACAAAAUUCACCAUCGCUGGAGAAACUGCGAGUUGGUGAGGCUCAAGUUUCACGAGCUUCUUGCUCAGAACAUGAAGCUGGCUCAUCAAAUUGUCGAGAAGUUGUCUGGACUGAGUUGUUGUAGCAUUCUGCAGCAUAGAACGGGAGGGUUGGUUAUAUGGAGGUCGGGAAGUGUUAUGUGGGUGUACCGUGGGAGGAAUUACCAAGGGCUGGCGCAACUGAGUAUAAAGGAAGGUGGUGAUCAAAUUUCUGUGCCGGCAGAUGGUGAUGCCACAUCAUCAUUGCUGGAAAAGAGUGCGGUAGUUAUGUGGAAGGGGGAGAACAUGACGCCAGAGGAAGUGGAGUUCAACAGGAUGCUUGAUGACUUUGGUCCUCGUUAUGUUGAAUGGUGGGGUACUGGAAUACUUCCUGUUGAUGCCGAUUUGCUUCCCCCAACAGUUCCUGGUUACAAGACACCUCUUAGGCUUCUUCCUGCUGGAAUGCGUCCACGGUUGACCAAUGAUGAACUGACAAAUAUGCGGAAGCUUGCUAAAUCUCUUCCUUGUCACUUUGCCUUGGGGAGAAAUCGAAAUCUUCAAGGCCUGGCAUCUGCUAUUCUUAGACUUUGGGAGAAAAGUUUAGUUGCGAAGAUUGGUGUCAAGCGAGGCAUUGUGAAUACAAACAAUGAACUAAUGGCUCUGGAGCUGAAGAAAUUAACAGGAGGUACCUUACUGCUAAGAAAUAAGUAUUACAUUGUAAUAUAUCGCGGGAAGGACUUUGUUCCAACCAGUGUGGCCGCAGUUAUUGCUGAAAGACAGGAAUUGACAAAACAGGUGCAGGAUGUCGAGGAGAAAGCCCGGUGCAAAGCUCUUGAUGUAGCUCCAUUAGGGGAAGGUGAAUUGACAGCACAAGCAGGAUCAUUGGCUGAGUUCUAUGAGGCUCAGGCAUGCUGGGGAAGGGAUAUAUCUGCAGAAGAACGGGAGAGGAUGAUGCAAGAGGUUGCCAAAGCUAAUAAUGCUAAGCUUGUCAAAAAAAUUGAACGCAAACUAGCUGUUGCCCAGACCAAAAGGCUUAGAGCAGAACAGCUAUUAGCUAAACUAGAAGCCUCAUUGGUUCUAGCUGGUCCUGAUCAUGACAAGGAAACAAUCACAGAUGAAGAACGCAUUAUGUUCCAUUCAGUUGGUUUAAGAAUGAAGGCAUACUUGCCACUUGGUAUACGUGGUGUUUUUGAUGGUGUCAUUGAGAAUAUGCAUUUGCAUUGGAAACAUCGAGAACUUGUUAAAUUAAUAACAAAACAAAAGACCCUUGCUUUUGUUGAAGACACGGCUAGGCUACUUGAAUACGAGAGUGGUGGAAUACUUGUAGCAAUAGAUAAAGUUCCUAAAGGAUUUUCUCUUAUUUACUAUCGUGGAAAGAAUUAUAGGCGACCUAUGACUCUGAGGCCUAGAAACCUUCUAACAAAGGCAAGGGCAUUGCAGCGUUCAAUAGCCAUGCAACGGCAUGAGGCUCUGAGUCAGCAUAUAACUGAACUGGGGAAAAAAAUAGAAGAAAUGAAAAAAGAACUUGGUUUGUCUCAAAAUUUGGGGCCUGAAGAUCGAGGGAAUGUAGAGGACCAUAACGAAAUAGACCAUAUAUCAGAAUUCACCCACAGUGAAGUUGAAUACUCUUAUGGAGAUGACAAUGAUAGUGAUUUCAGUGACAAGGAAUACAGCGAUUCUAAUGACGAGGAUUGUGAAUUUUAAAACUUUAAAAAUGAGAUUCCUACAAAGACAGGUUGACAUUUUGCAAUAAAGUUCCUGGAUGACAUCCACCAUUGCCUGCAGCCAGCUAGUAAUUUUCCCUACAUCUGGGGUUAUCAAGAGGCAAGUUUACUGAUAGCAGUUUGAACGGAUCUUCUGCUUGCACAUAGGAGUUGAAACUCAGGAGUCUUAUUUGUUAAAAGUUCUGGAAUUUGAGAUAUGCCUACAAUACCUUUCUGAUGUUAGUUUUCUUCCUCCCCCAAUAUAUAACCAGGGGUCCAAAUGAGCUUAUUAUAUUUUUGUAAAUUAUUCAGGUUCAUCUUAUUAAAUGUAAUAUCGAUCUGUGUAUUUUCUCUUAGUUCCAUGUGAUUUGUAACUCGACACAUAUAAAAUGUAUAUCCAAACAUACAUUACAUAUA